Molecule: ribosomal RNA, 384 nt
Filed under: uncultured bacterium
Lineage: Bacteria
Description: bacterial SSU rRNA
Rfam family: Bacterial small subunit ribosomal RNA
Source: RNAcentral
AUUGAACGCUGGCGGCAUGCCUUACACAUGCAAGUCGAACGGCAGCGGACCUUCGGGUGCCGGCGAGUGGCGAACGGGUGAGUAAUAUAUCGGAACGUACCUUUCAGUGGGGGAUAACGUAGCGAAAGUUACGCUAAUACCGCAUAUUCUGUGAGCAGGAAAGCAGGGGAUCGCAAGACCUUGCGCUGAUUGAGCGGCCGAUAUCAGAUUAGCUAGUUGGUGAGGUAAAGGCUCACCAAGGCGACGAUCUGUAGCGGGUCUGAGAGGAUGAUCCGCCACACUGGAACUGAGACACGGUCCAGACUCCUACGGGAGGCAGCAGUGGGGAAUUUUGGACAAUGGGCGGAAGCCUGAUCCAGCCAUGCCGCGUGAGUGAAGAAGGCC